This 506-nucleotide ribosomal RNA is filed under the name uncultured bacterium. RNAcentral's name for it is "partial 16S ribosomal RNA". It matches the Rfam family "Bacterial small subunit ribosomal RNA", at positions 29 to 523 of the family's 1533-position model. The record is from RNAcentral.
AGUGAACGCUGGCGGUAGGCCUAACACAUGCAAGUCGAACGGGAGAACAGGAGAGCUUGCCCUCUGUGUGGCGAGUGGCGGACGGGUUAGGAAUACAUCGGCAUAUACUCUGUCGUGGGGGACACCGUAGGGAAACUAACGCUAAUACCGCAUACGACCUACGGGUGGCAGACGGGGACCUUCGGGCCUAGCGCGUUCGACUGAGCCGAUGUCGGAUGAGCUAGUUGGCGGGGUAAAGACGCACCAAGGCGACGACCCGUAGUUGGUCGGAGGGGUUGUGCAGCCACACUGGAACUGGGACACGGUCCAGACUCCUACGGGAGGCGGCAGUGGGGAAUAUUGGACAAUGGGCGCAAGCCUGAUCCAGCCAUACCCCUUGGGUGAAGAAGGCCUUCGGGUUGUAAGGCCCUUUUGUUGGGAAAGAGAUCCAGCUGUCUAAUACCCGGUUGGGAUGACGGUACCCAAAGAAUAAGCACCGGCUAACUUCGUGCCAGCCGCCGCGGUAA